UGGGGAAUAUUGGACAAUGGGCGCAAGCCUGAUCCAGCCAUGCCGCGUGAGUGAUGAAGGCCCUAGGGUUGUAAAGCUCUUUCACCGGUGAAGAUAAUGACGGUAACCGGAGAAGAAGCCCCGGCUAACUUCGUGCCAGCAGCCGCGGUAAUACGAAGGGGGCUAGCGUUGUUCGGAUUUACUGGGCGUAAAGCGCACGUAGGCGGACUAUUAAGUCAGGGGUGAAAUCCCGGGGCUCAACCCCGGAACUGCCUUUGAUACUGGUAGUCUUGAGUUCGAGCGAGGUGAGUGGAAUUCCGAGUGUAGAGGUGAAAUUCGUAGAUAUUCGGAGGAACACCAGUGGCGAAGGCGGCUCACUGGCUCGAUACUGACGCUGAGGUGCGAAAGCGUGGGGAGCAAACAGG
This 404-nucleotide ribosomal RNA is filed under the name Verrucomicrobiota bacterium. Its description in RNAcentral is "Verrucomicrobia bacterium partial 16S ribosomal RNA". It matches the Rfam family "Bacterial small subunit ribosomal RNA", at positions 355 to 776 of the family's 1533-position model. Lineage: Bacteria; Pseudomonadati; Verrucomicrobiota. The record is from RNAcentral.